Molecule: long non-coding RNA, 1055 nt
Filed under: Pongo abelii (Sumatran orangutan)
Lineage: Eukaryota; Metazoa; Chordata; Mammalia; Primates; Hominidae
Description: lincRNA
Source: RNAcentral
AGUGCUGAUCAGACCUGGUGAGCACAAAGUCGCAAAUUUCCCAGACACCCUGACCAGAGACACACAUGUAUACCAAGGACAGGAAUAAAUACCUAAAAAUGCAAGGCGCUACCACCUUCUUAGAUGUCUUGGUGAGAGGUCCGGUGUUCAGAGGGCACAUUGAGAUACAAGGCGAAGGCCUUUUUGGAUCUGUAGUGUGCUACCUCUUUAAUGGGAAAUCUUAGAGGCUAUCAGUAUUGAAUGGUGACCAGAGGAAAAUACUGCUCUACAUAUAGGUCUGGGCUGUCAUACAAACUGAUCUGCUACUGGGGCCUCAUGACCUAGCAGAUCCAAAAGUAUUCAACAUGUUUGUGGCAGAUGCAAAUGCUGUUUAGAACCUUUGGGAGGUCGCUGUAGAAGCACAAUGCAAAACUUCAGGAUUUUGGAGCAAAGCUUUGUCAUCUUUCGCACACACAGUGUUCUCUUUUGAUAGCUCCUGGUGUGCUACUGGACUCUAGCAGACACAGAAUGUCUGACUCUGCGCCACUAAGUAACCAUUCAACCUCCUCUGUCCUUCAAGAACUGGGAAAUGUCUGAAAAAACAAGCAAUGAAAUGUGUGUAUAGCAGCACUCCAUUACAAGUUGUAGUUUUAUAUAUGAGAUUGGUCUCAAGCAAGACCUAAAGGUAAAAAAGUAAGAGGCUCAGAUUUGCAUGGCUCCUCCUCUUGCUGCAUUAACUGCUGUCUCUCAACGCAAGCAUACUGUAACAUAUUGAUGGAGGAGAAAAAUACUGAGUCUCACUUACAGAUAAUUCUGUGUAAUGUGCUGGCAUCACCUAAAAGUGGAAAACUGCAAGAUUACUGCCCCAUCCAAGAAAACCCUUCAGCAGCCCCAUUCUUCAGGAACUGUGAAGGACUGUGGCAAAGAGAUGAUAAAUAGCCAAAGAUGUCAAUGGCACUCAUGGACAUAGUAAGCAUAGUAGGAGCUGAAACACUAGAAGCACUGACAAUGUCAACUAUUUUGAGCAAAAAGAAGCAGUGUCUUCGGAACAUUUGAUCAUAAAACCAGAAAUUAUG